RNAcentral lists this unclassified non-coding RNA (335 nucleotides) under soil metagenome. RNAcentral describes it as "partial contains 5.8S ribosomal RNA, internal transcribed spacer 2, and large subunit ribosomal RNA". The stretch from base 1 to 120 matches the Rfam family "5.8S ribosomal RNA", at positions 35 to 154 of the family's 154-position model. The record is from RNAcentral.
GAUGAAGAACGCAGCGAAAUGCGAUAAGUAAUGUGAAUUGCAGAAUUCAGUGAAUCAUCGAUUCUUUGAACGCACAUUGCGCCCGCCAGUAUUCUGGCGGGCAUGCCUGUUCGAGCGUCAUUUCAACCAUCAAGCCCCCGGCUUGUGUUGGGGACCUGCGGCUGCCGCAGGCCCUGAAAACCAGUGGCGGGCUCGCUAGUCACUCCGAGCGUAGUAGUUACAUCUCGCUCAGGGCGUGCUGCGGGUUCCGGCCGUUAAAAGCCUUAUUUACCCAAGGUUGACCUCGGAUCAGGUAGGAAGACCCGCUGAACUUAAGCAUAUCAAUAAGCGGAGGA